UACGUAGGGGGCAAGCGUUGUCCGGAUUUAUUGGGCGUAAAGAGCGUGUAGGCGGCUUUACAGGUCCGUUGUGAAAACUCGAGGCUCAACCUCGAGACGCCGGUGGAAACCGUAAAGCUAGAGUCCGGAAGAGGAGAGUGGAAUUCCUGGUGUAGCGGUGAAAUGCGUAGAUAUCAGGAGGAACACCGGUGGCGAAGGCGGGUCUCUGGGCCGAUACUGACGCUGAGGAGCGAAAGCGUGGGGAGCAAACAGG
This 253-nucleotide ribosomal RNA is filed under the name uncultured bacterium. RNAcentral's name for it is "partial 16S ribosomal RNA". It matches the Rfam family "Bacterial small subunit ribosomal RNA", at positions 524 to 776 of the family's 1533-position model. The record is from RNAcentral.